CCUACGGGGGGCUGCAGUGGGGAAUAUUGGGCAAUGGGCGCAAGCCUGACCCAGCAACGCCGCGUGAAGGAAGAAGGCUUUCGGGUUGUAAACUUCUUUUGUCAGGGAAGAGUAGAAGACUGUACCUGGCGAAUAAGCCACGGCUAACUACGUGCCAGCAGCCGCGGUAAUACGUAGGUGGCAAGCGUUGUCCGGAUUUACUGGGUGUAAAGGGCGUGUAGCCGGGAAGGCAAGUCAGAUGUGAAAUCUGGAGGCUCAACCUCCAAACUGCAUUUGAAACUGUUUUUCUUGAGUAUCGGAGAGGCAAUCGGAAUUCCUAGUGUAGCGGUGAAAUGCGUAGAUAUUAGGAGGAACACCAGUGGCGAAGGCGGAUUGCUGGACGACAACUGACGCUGAGGCGCGAAAGCGUGGGGAGCAAACAGGCUUAGAUACCCCAGUAGUC
This 442-nucleotide ribosomal RNA is filed under the name uncultured Oscillibacter sp. Its description in RNAcentral is "bacterial SSU rRNA". It matches the Rfam family "Bacterial small subunit ribosomal RNA", at positions 338 to 795 of the family's 1533-position model. Lineage: Bacteria; Bacillati; Bacillota; Clostridia; Eubacteriales; Oscillospiraceae. The record is from RNAcentral.